CUACGGGAGGCACCAGUGAGGAAUAUUGCACAAUGGGGGGAACCCUGAUGCAGCAACGCCGCGUGGAGGAUGACGCAUUUCGGUGUGUAAACUCCUUUUAUAUGUCAAGAAAAUGACGGUAGCAUAUGAAUAAGCACCGGCUAACUCCGUGCCAGCAGCCGCGGUAAUACGGAGGGUGCAAGCGUUACUCGGAAUCACUGGGCGUAAAGGACGCGUAGGCGGGUUGGAAAGUCAGGUGUGAAAUCCUACAGCUUAACUGUAGAACUGCACUUGAAACUUCUAAUCUAGAGUAUGGGAGGGGGAGAUGGAGUUAGUGGUGUAGGGGUAAAAUCCGUAGAUAUCACUAGGAAUACCUAAAGCGAAGGCGAUCUCCUGGAACAUUACUGACGCUAAGGCGUAAAAGCGUGGGGAGCAAACAGGAUUAGAUACCCCAGUAGUC
RNAcentral lists this ribosomal RNA (439 nucleotides) under uncultured bacterium. RNAcentral describes it as "partial 16S ribosomal RNA". It matches the Rfam family "Bacterial small subunit ribosomal RNA", at positions 339 to 795 of the family's 1533-position model. The record is from RNAcentral.